Molecule: transfer RNA, 78 nt
Filed under: Desulfovibrio desulfuricans
Lineage: Bacteria; Pseudomonadati; Thermodesulfobacteriota; Desulfovibrionia; Desulfovibrionales; Desulfovibrionaceae
Also listed under: 5 other names
Description: tRNA-Glu
Rfam family: tRNA
About the family: Transfer RNA (tRNA) molecules are approximately 80 nucleotides in length. Their secondary structure includes four short double-helical elements and three loops (D, anti-codon, and T loops). Further hydrogen bonds mediate the characteristic L-shaped molecular structure. tRNAs have two regions of fundamental functional importance: the anti-codon, which is responsible for specific mRNA codon recognition, and the 3' end, to which the tRNAs corresponding amino acid is attached (by aminoacyl-tRNA synthetases). tRNAs cope with the degeneracy of the genetic code in two manners: having more than one tRNA (with a specific anti-codon) for a particular amino acid; and 'wobble' base-pairing, i.e. permitting non-standard base-pairing at the 3rd anti-codon position.
Source: RNAcentral
GUCCCUAUCGUCUAGCCCGGCCCAGGACAACGGCCUUUCACGCCGUCGACAGGGGUUCAAAUCCCCUUGGGGACGCCA